AGUCCACGUGCUGAUUCUUUUUGCACAUCCAUUUACACAUCCUUGAUUACGAAAUUUUUUACCACAUGGUGUCACACACAGGCUUGUUCGGGGAUCGACUGGCCGGCGGCAAUCGUCGCCGCGAGCUCGACGCAUGCCAAUAUCUCCGCUUCUAGGCCUUCCCGCGCGACGCCACUUGGAGACAACACGUAUAACAUCAAUACAAAACAUAUCCUAGCUUCAUAGCGCGCGCGCCGACUCGGAAUACCCGCAAAUGUCGUACCAGCCUGUCUCAGGAUGGCGGCACAGGCCUCGGCGAGCUCGACAAACCUCCAUAUCUUCACUACCAGGUCGUCCCACGUGACGCCACUUUCGGAGCACCUGUUUAACAUCAUUACAAAGCAUAUCCUAGCUCGGCUGCAUGGGCGCCGAUUCGGAAGACUCACAGACCCGUUUCGUGAGUCAAUCCCGUAUGCAGCUCAGCAUGCUCGAUUGG
Ribosomal RNA from Saprolegnia parasitica CBS 223.65, 475 nucleotides. NCBI's taxonomy places the organism in Eukaryota, Oomycota, Saprolegniomycetes, Saprolegniales, Saprolegniaceae. The record is from RefSeq and is a predicted model, not a curated record.